UGGUGUCGAUCCUUGCCUGGGCC
This 23-nucleotide non-coding RNA is filed under the name Rattus norvegicus (Norway rat). The record is from RNAcentral. Lineage: Eukaryota; Metazoa; Chordata; Mammalia; Rodentia; Muridae.